This 471-nucleotide ribosomal RNA is filed under the name uncultured bacterium. RNAcentral's name for it is "SSU rRNA". It matches the Rfam family "Bacterial small subunit ribosomal RNA", at positions 26 to 518 of the family's 1533-position model. The record is from RNAcentral.
AGGACGAACGCUGGCGGCGUGCUUAACACAUGCAAGUCGAGCGGAAAGGCCCUUCGGGGUACUCGAGCGGCGAACGGGUGAGUAACACGUGAGUAAUCUGCCCCUAGCUCUGGGAUAGCUCCGGGAAACCGGGAUUAAUACCGGAUACGACCACCUUAGACAUCUUUUGUGGUGGAAAGAAUUUCGGCUAGGGAUGAGCUCGCGGCCUAUCAGCUUGUUGGUGGGGUAACGCCUACCAAGGCGACGACGGGUAGCCGGCCUGAGAGGGCGACCGGCCACACUGGGACUGAGACACGGCCCAGACUCCUACGGGAGGCAGCAGUGGGGAUAUUGCGCAAUGGGCGAAAGCCUGACGCAGCGACGCCGCGUGGGGGAUGAAGGCCUUCGGGUUGUAAACCCCUUUCAGCAGGGACGAAGCGAAAGUGACGGUACUGCAGAAGAAGCGCCGGCUAACUACGUGCCAGCAGCCGC